CAGGCCAGGCCAAGCAGUUUUGGCUUGGUUGGUUGAGCUGAGCGAAGCCGGGCCAAGCUGAGUACAAUCCACUUUGUGUCAGGCCCGCGUUACCCACGUGCGCGCUGAGCCCGUUGACUGUCAUAUUUGGUUCGAUAUAAUGUUCGCGCUAGUUCGCUUUCUAGAUAGUGACCAUGCACAUGACACUCGUAGAUAUGUUGUGCGAGUGGAGGAUAUCCAUGAUUUUCAUCCGAAGCACGAGACGGAUUUCGAUGGCAAGGCAGUGUAUGUCGUUCACUGGGAGGAUGAAGCAAACGGUGACGACACGGGUGAAUAUAAAGCCCAGAUACUUCGACUUGGCGCCACAGAGAAAGAAGCUCGGGAAUCGCCAAAAAGAAUUCCGAUCCCUAAAAUUGCAGUUGAGGAAGGCUCGGACGUUGAAGGAGCUGUGACCAAGAAGGCCACUGCUGCAAGAAUGAAAAAAACAGCUGUCAACCGAACUGCAGCAAAAAAAGACCGGUACGAGCAGAUCUUGAAAAAGCAGAUGAGCCACGCUCUCCGACAGAACUCGGAACAAACUCGAAAAACGCGACUGAGUUCAUCAUCAAGCUCGGAUGACUCUCUCGUGUCCAGCUCAGAAGUAACAGAAGAGAAGAAAAAAACCAAAUUUUGGAAAAAGAGAUGCAAGGAGCUGCGGCAAGACAACAUCUUCUUGCAAGAACAAGUUAGCUCACAGCAGGUGCUGUUAAACUCAAAAUUUCUGAGGUUUGAAGACCUGCAGCACAGCAAAGAGGCUGACGUUGAGAGCUGCACUGUACAAGCUAGAAAGGAGACAGCAAAGGCCACAAGCAACCUAGUAAAGUCCAUUCAAGAGACUGUGCCUGGGUCACCGAAUGCUGGCAGUCUACACUCACGAAGUGCCAUUGAUGACUUCAUAGAGGAACCUCCCACUUCGAUGACUGCAUGUGCAGCAAAAGAAUCUGAUGACCUGCCUAGUCCAAGGAAAUGUUUUUCAUAUUUAGAAGAUGGCUCUAUCCCUUCACAUUGACAUCCCGUAUAAUCAUGUGAUUUUGGGACAUGAAACCCAUGAUAUUAUUAUAAGCCGUGUGAAACAAACUGCCUGCCGAACAGCUCAGAGGUGCCUCCACAAUAACGAUGUGCAGCUACUUGGCAUGUUGCCAAUGACAGUGGUGCAAAACAGCAGCAGUUGUUGGUAAGUUUGUGAAAUCUUCUGCAGUACAUGUUACAUUUUAGCUUCUAGAAAGUACAGGUGGCUUGUAUACUUGCCCUUGUCAAUUUCGGUAGCUAGAUAUAUUACCAAUACCACAGAUAAUUUGGACAUUUAGAAACACUAUAUGAGGUGGCAAAAGCAUGUGCAUAUCCGAAUACAAAUCGAAUAGUGGCCCUGCGAAUAUUUUAAUUCGUGAAUUGAAUAUGUGCUCUUCAAAUUCUCAAAUACUGAAAGUCGGCAACACCUACAUUAUGGAACAUGUAAUAAUUACAUAUGCCCUAAAUUGUAGUAUGCAUUAAUCAUCAUAUAUAGGUUGACAUCUGGUGUGUAUGUCUGCUAACAAAAAAUUAAAUACAGGGCUACCAAAAAUAUUGUUUAAAGUACCUGUAUCUAGACCGCUGCUGUCUUUUUGCCAAAGUGGCGCGAAAAUGCCUCCUCUCUCACGUGAAUAUCCGAUAGCGUGCGGUGGCAAAGCCAAGGAGCAUUUCAAAUCUCUUACAUAGUCCGGUGCUCACCAGCUGGUAAGCAUACAAUAAACUGCAGUGAUGCAAGGCUGCCCCCCCCCCUUCCCCACACAACCUGUUUCACAAGUCAAGUAAACAAAAAAAGAAACCAUGCUCAUUACCACAUUCAGAAAAAAAUUAUAUUGCACAAAAACUUGUAAUAAUAAAAUUUUUGCUAUUCAAUAUUUGUACGCCUGCUAAGUUGAACUUCUUUGUCAGCCAAUAAUAAUUACAGGAACAAGAUGUUGCAUCGCUCUCUUCCUUGAUAUUUACAGUUUCAUCUUCAAAAGGGCAUCUGCCUGACGCCUAUUCAGGCAAAAAGAAUUCUGUCUCACAAGAAGGCAAGGCUGGUGGUGAAGGAAACGGCACAAGCCAUAUGGUCCCAGAAAGGGCUAGCGUCACGCAGUGUUAAAGGUGGCGUAGCUCCAGGAAGAAGGAACCUCGGCGAGGUUGCAAAGCCUGCGCUGACACCUGAAAAGGUCGCGGUUCUGGAAGAAACACUCAACCAUUGGUCGCAUGUGACAGGCGCCGACUCGUCCAUUGCAGCCCGAAACUUGACCAGCAUACUAACUGAAAAAAUUCAGGAUUGCAUCAAGGCAGAGCGACGAAAACCUCCACAGUAAAUGUACUGCGAAAUGCAUUCAAUCCAUAGAUAACCCAACGAAGACCAAAGACUAGGGCUGUGCAAUGUUUUUUCUGCAUUAAUAAAUAGAAUCGUCUCAUAUACACUCAACAUAA
Molecule: unclassified non-coding RNA, 2451 nt
Filed under: Rhipicephalus microplus (southern cattle tick)
Lineage: Eukaryota; Metazoa; Arthropoda; Arachnida; Ixodida; Ixodidae
Description: uncharacterized LOC119180079, transcript variant X3
Source: RNAcentral